UCUAGAUCUUCCUGCUUUCCAACUCACUUAACUGGAGAUGGUCACGAGAACAAGACGUUCAGUUGCUGUAUUCCUACUUUCAGGCACUCUGGACUCAGGAGAGUCCAAAGUGAGAGAUUUUCAUUCCACUGUUGACCUCAGCUCAGCCCUCUCCUCUGAAGCUUCUGGUCAUGUGUUGGGAGAUACCAGCAGGUACCAUGAGGGAGCUUGGGACAGCCCACUGGAGAGCAGACCACACUCACCGGAGCAGGCUCACACCUCCUGCCACGUGUGUGUGUGUGUGUGUGUGUGUGUGUGUGUGUGUGUGUAGAGGGGACAGAGGAGAGGUGCAUGCCCUUCCUGGGCAGAAACCAGCUUCCAGGUGUUGGAAGUCUGACACAUAUCUUGUGUUCAGACCCUAGGUCAUAGCAGGCAAGAUGAGAAGGUGAGUGCUGGGGACCAAGCUCAAUAAUGAAUAUGUUAGUCAUGAGCCCAAGAGUCUCUUUCAUCUGGCUUCCUCCUUGCCAGAUGUCUUUUCAGUGGCCCCUCUUGGCCUGAACUGGAGAACACGAUUUCUAAUGGGGGUGUCCUCUUGUGGUGAUGUCCAGGGAGGACCCUAAUGUCUCUUGGCCCUGUAUAUAUAGGACAUUGUAUUUCCAGAGCUUCACCCAGGAGAUCUUGGAGGAGAUGGUCUGUGGCUUUGACUAUUCCAACACUAGACAAUUAUCUGGUGCACCAGGCAAACAAGGAUCAGUGCUUUUCUGAGGUGAGAAUGGGAAGCAGGUUCUCCACACAAAUAUGGCUCCCACACAAACAUGGAGAGAAACCUGAGGCCCUUCCGUAGUGUUUCCAUGUGAGUGUCCCACAAGCUCAACCUCAAAGUGAUCUGAACCUCUAUGCCUAGCCACUAGCUAUGGGAUGAGGUGGGAAGACACUCUUCACCUAUGUUGGAAUGGUGCAGAAUAUAUUUAAUGUUUUUGAGGGCUUGUGGGGGUUGUUUUGUUUUGUUUUUCACAAGCAAUGAGUAUCUUUGCAUUUUACUACUGUUUUUAUUAUUCCACCUACUCAUCCCAGAUAUCCUGUGUAGAACCCAGCUUCACUGUCCCUGCAGAACUUCUCCAAGCCCUUACAAAUCAUCACACUAAAGAGUGUGAUUUAACACAAAAGGAAGGGUGGGAUGAAGCCAUUCUAUAUGUUUUCCUGUAACGUGUCCUCUCUCAGAACACAUCAAAUCAUUGUAGGCCCAACAGGUCAUGAGCUUUGUCCUUAUAGAUCUUCACAGUACUACAUAAAUGAAGCCAUCUGCCACAGUGAUUCAGUCUUUCAAGGCCCUUGGCACUUGACUUGAUGCCAUUCUCUUGUCAUUUCUGCAGUGCUUUAAAGAAUGCCUUACGUGUCCUCACAGACUGUUUUAGUUGCUAGAUCUGCUAUAACAUGGAACCCCAGAUUGGGUGAAGGUCUCUGUUGCCUCCUGGCCCUGGUAGCUGGCUCUGUCCUUCCUUAGAGAUCCACCCAGAAAUCUUUGAUGAGCUGCUCCAAGGGUUCAACUACUCUAUCUCCCCUGACAAGCAUAGGUGCAUCAGGCCACCAACUACAAGUGCCAAUCUGGGGUGAGAACAGGUCCACAUUCAUGUCCAAUUUCAAGACCUAGAGAUGAUCAGGGAAACCCAGAACCCAGACUAGAAACAACUGGCUCCCCUGGGGCCUGCUGAGGAAUGUGGUUUUCCCAUGACCCUUUCUCCCCAUUUCAGGAACAGACCAAGCCACAUCAGUUUAGGGGAAAUGCAAUGCAGCCCAUACUUUGGACAAUUCUCAGGCCCAACGUAUGUGAUCUUGAGCAGCAUUUAAGAUUCUAACCCUCUGUGUUCUAUUGGCUUUCAGAUGUUAACUGAUGACUCAAUGGCAUACUGGUCUUCAUAAAAGCUAUUAGUUGAGAGAAAUGCUGUUGUUGCUCAGCUAACAAAGUGUGUAGAAGUUACCAAUGGAUUACCAUGUCUCCCCUAAAACCAAUUGUACUUUGAAGCCAAAACUUUUUUCUGUGUGGGCACUCAAGUCCCUUGUCCUGUACAAGUUUCUGAGGGAAUGGGGGGUCUCUGGUCUGAGUGCCAGACCCUUAUCUUCCCAGUGGUUCAUGGUUUUGAAGCUGACUAGAGUGCCCCUCCUUGUCUCUCUGGUGUGAAAAGGAAUCAACCCUGUCCCUGGGUGAGGCCUGCACCCUCCUGACUCUCAAGGAAGGCACAAUGGAGAAUUUCAUACAGUACCAUCCUUCCUUUCAUACCAUCCUUCAAGGAUAGAAACCUCUCAAACAUCCCAAUCAUUUCCUGAAUAUACCAGAUAUUCACCACAGCCCAACAAGUCCUGAGCCAGCAGUGAGUGACCACCCCAUGUACACAGCACAGGGGGUGAGGCUCACCUCUACUACUGGUAUGUUUUGGGAAUGUCAUUGCAUCUCUCUGAGGUUCCUUUUCCUCUCCUGAAAAGUGGGUGUGGUAAGAGGAUGAACCUCAUGGGGCUACUGUGGGAAAUCAUGGGAGAAAACAUGGCAUAGACUUAUCUGGUGCCUGACUGUGUAGAAAGAGCUGCUGGACAUGCUGGACAUCUUCAUGUGUAGCAGUUCUCUCUCCCCAGUGAAGAAGUUCUCAAUAUCAACACUCAUGGGCCUGUGGCACUUCAGGUUUACAGAAGCACAUUGGAAAGCAGGCAGUUUUCCUGUUUGCAGAGGACUUCUGAGAUUCUGUCUAACUGGUCCUGCUACUUGUCCUUUAUGUGCCCAGAGUAGAGGUCACUGGGGGCAGGCAGAACAGCUCAAUUUCUACUCAGUAUAAGGAGAGUGCUGGUUGGAAUUCCUUCAUCCAAUAAUAUAUAUUAAGCACCUAGUAUUGCAGAUACAUUUCUAGUCACUAAGAUAAAUGAAGGAAUAAAAUAGAUACAAUGUCUGGGUCUCAAUUCUAAUCAGAGAGUCAGACAGUCAAUGACUCUACAAGUGUAAGCACCCAUGUCCAUAGUUUGUUAGAUGUGACAUCUUCAUGGCCACCUUGAGGGAUGAAUGGAUCACCCAUAUUUGGACCAUUUUGAUGGACAAUAAGAUCAAAUAAGGGCACCUGGGUGGCUCAGUCAGUUAGGCCUCUCUCUUAAGCUCAGAUCAUGAUCUCCAGGGUCCUGGGUCUGAGCCCUACAUUGGGCUCCCUGCUCAGAGGGGAGCCUGCUUCUCCCACUCCCUCUGAUGCUCACCCUGCUUGUAGUCUCAGUCUCUCUCUUUCCAAUAAAUUAACAAAUAUCCUUUAAAAAAUUUAAAGAUCAAGUAAAACUUUGAUUGGUCUUUGGAUCCAGAAGGAGGGCCUUGCUGCCUCCACAGAGCAUGUUGAGAGACUACAGGGGCUGUGGCUGAGGAGGGACUUUCAGAGCCAUAGGUCUCACAGAUCUCUUGAUUUCCACUUGGAGGGCUUCAUUUUGGGGACUUCAUGGAAAGAGGCAAAUGAGUCAAAGGGAGCUGCACAUAGGGUCCCAAGCCCUCUGGGAAGCAGAGCACAGUCUGGGCUGAUUUGGUGCCUCAAACACCCAUCCUUUCAACUGUCCCAUCUUGUUCUGCCUGUCCCUCUCCAUACCACCUCUGCUGACCACCACACCUGAGGCCAAGAACACAAACUCUGGUGAGCAGACCACCAACCAAUAUGCUGACAACCUAAGCCCUGAUCCUGGUUUACAUGGAGGGUGGAGUAGACAAGGCCCUUGGCCAUGGAGAAGAGGAUAAUUAGAAAAACCAGACUAAUACAGGUUCUCUGGAUGACCAGACCUUCCACUUCAAGGACAGCUACAGAGGGGUUGGAAAUCAGGCUGAGGCCAUUCUAUGGGACCAUACAGAAAUAAUGGUGCUAUGGGAGUACCAUGUGAAAGGAAAGGCCAGGCCUCUGAUGCUGCUCUACAUAUGACUCUCCCCAGCACCUUCUCUCCCAUCUUGGGUACCUGGCCUGACCAGAAAUUGCAGGAUACCUGGAAGUCCCUGCACCUUGAACUGCCACCUGGAGCUUGAAGUUAAUGAGGAUGAUCAGGGUGCAAAUGCCCUCCUUCCUUCCCUGACGGUAUCUGCUCUUGGCUCAUCCUAUCCUGGGUUCCCUCAGUGAAGAGGAAUGGAAUUCAAUCCAGGAACUCCAACUGGGCUCAGACCACAUUCUCAGCUUCCUGAGCUCCAGCUCUGACCUGUACCCCCUACAUAGGACUGUAUGAGUGAACGUCCCCCUCUUCUCUUGAGUCUGUUCAAGAAGGUGCUGCCCCAUCAGGGCCUGGGCUCCAUCUGGCCCAAGAAGAAUAAGCCUGGCAAUUAGCACCUGGCAUGCACAGUCCAUGCCACCAUCACCCAGUACAACUGUGUGGCCAACUGCAUCAUCACCACUUGUCUUGGAAACCCAGGCAUGACAGCCCGGGACCGAGCCAUGGUGGUGGAGCACUGGAUCAAGGUGGCCAAGGCCUGUCAAAUCCUGUGGAACUACUACUCAUUGCUCUGCAGAGUGCCUCAAUUCACUGCUGAAGAAGACAUGGGCCAAAGUUUCCAGGAAGAGUUUUCAAACAUUUAAAAAGCUGUGCAUUGAAGACAACCCACAGAGUAAGAAGCUGCUUAUCCAGGGUGUUCUCUCCUUCCUUGGCACCUUCCCCACUGACCUGAUGAUGCUGGAUAUUGCAAUGGAGGAGUACUUGGAGGUGUGUGAGCCUGAGAGCUGGGGAGGAGGGGCCAGAAUCUUGAAGUGUGGUAACAGAUAGCCCCUGGACUGAGCCCUGAGCUCUCAGUACUUGGCAAACCUUCCCAUCAUGACAGCCUCACAGCCUCACAGUUGCUCCUGUGGGCUAGGGUUUCUUGCUCAUGUCAGUGAUGAGUGAGGGGAGGCUGCACUUAGUUCACUGGUCCUGGGAUCAAGUCUGCUGCCUGAAUGCAAAGCAGCAUGAGGUUUGUCUGGGUUGACCUCAGCCUCUUCCUUAAGGGUUGCCUGUGAGAGCAGAGUGAAAUCAGGACACCCCUGUACACAUCAGCAAGCACUUAAGGAGCCUAGCAGCCCCUGCCCACCUGAGGCUUUGGCCUCCCCUUCCUGUGCUACAGGAUACCAGAGCAGCCACCUCAUGUCUUCCUUUCCCUGGACCCCAGAGGCUGGCCUAGACUGCAGUCCUGUCAUCCGUGUACACAUGGCUCCCUUGUGUACCUGGCCUUAGUGCAGCCAGAAGGAGUGGGUAUUAGCAGCUAGUAAUAAUCAAGGUGCUUUUACUGAUGGACUUUGGUUGUCUGCUUUCCAGGGGAAUGAGAUCAACCACCAGAAGAAGGUGACGCUCUGUAUGACUUCCAGUAGGAAUAGUUUGAUAAAGAAGUGAAAGUCCCAUCUAGUUAGUAAGUGAUGACAGAGGAAUGGCAAUCAAGGAUAACUUCUCAGAAGAGGGACAGUUUAUACUACUCACCUCUGAGAACAAGUUGGGACUGGAUGAAUUUGCAGGAAGGAACACAAAAUCAUGACGGAGAUCAUGCUGCUUCAGGUGGCUGCAGAUCAUUACAACAUAGAGCCCAAGGAUCCAUUUAGGGCUUGGUUCCAGUCUGGGGAGUGGCUCGGUGAAGAGGAGAGAUAAGACUCAUAAGGAGCUGGCUACAUCCUGUCCUGCCAGCUGGAGUCCUGAUCCUAGCUGGCCAACAGAACUCAAGAACAGAAAGAAUUGGCCACAGUCAAGCUCAAGGCUGAGCCAGUGUCCAGUGGCAAUGCGACAUGCAGGAGACCCAUCUGCUCAACACCUCUUCCUCCCAUCUCUACUUAUUUGGAGGGCCAACAUUUCAUUGUCUUAAAUGGGAAUUGGUACAUUUUAAUGUUAUUAUAUUAA
Molecule: long non-coding RNA, 5829 nt
Organism: Canis lupus familiaris (dog)
Lineage: Eukaryota; Metazoa; Chordata; Mammalia; Carnivora; Canidae
Exons: 7
Source: RefSeq, a predicted model, not a curated record